This 224-nucleotide unclassified non-coding RNA is filed under the name uncultured Marasmius. RNAcentral's name for it is "sequence contains ITS1". Lineage: Eukaryota; Fungi; Basidiomycota; Agaricomycetes; Agaricales; Tricholomataceae. The record is from RNAcentral.
UUGAAACAUUGUAAAGAAAGGUUGAGCUGGCCCUUCAAGGGCAAGUGCUCGCUUUUCUUUCAAUCUUCAUCCACCUGUGCACCUUUUGUAGUGAGCUCUGAGAAAUGUGGGCCCUUUCAGGAGGGUUUCUGAGUAUCAAGGCUCUCUAUGUUUUUAUACACUCUGAUUGUAUGUCUUUGAAUGUCUUUACAAGGAAUCCUUAAUUGGACCUUUUAAAAUCUAUA